RNAcentral lists this ribosomal RNA (253 nucleotides) under uncultured bacterium. Its description in RNAcentral is "partial 16S ribosomal RNA". It matches the Rfam family "Bacterial small subunit ribosomal RNA", at positions 524 to 776 of the family's 1533-position model. The record is from RNAcentral.
UACAGAGGGGGCAAGCGUUGUUCGGAAUUACUGGGCGUAAAGGGCGCGUAGGCGGCCGCCUAAGUCAGACGUGAAAUCCCUCGGCUCAACCGGGGAACUGCGUCUGAUACUGGGUGGCUUGAAUCCGGGAGAGGGAUGCGGAAUUCCAGGUGUAGCGGUGAAAUGCGUAGAUAUCUGGAGGAACACCGGUGGCGAAGGCGGCAUCCUGGACCGGCAUUGACGCUGAUGCGCGAAAGCUAGGGGAGCAAACAGG